This 442-nucleotide ribosomal RNA is filed under the name uncultured Bacillota bacterium. Its description in RNAcentral is "bacterial SSU rRNA". It matches the Rfam family "Bacterial small subunit ribosomal RNA", at positions 917 to 1359 of the family's 1533-position model. Lineage: Bacteria; Bacillati; Bacillota. The record is from RNAcentral.
GGGCCCGCACAAGCAGUGGAGUAUGUGGUUUAAUUCGAAGCAACGCGAAGAACCUUACCAGGUCUUGACAUCCAACUAACGAGGCAGAGAUGCGUUAGGUGCCCUUCGGGGAAAGUUGAGACAGGUGGUGCAUGGUUGUCGUCAGCUCGUGUCGUGAGAUGUUGGGUUAAGUCCCGCAACGAGCGCAACCCUUGUCAUUAGUUGCUACGCAAGAGCACUCUAAUGAGACUGCCGUUGAUAUAACGGAGGAAGGUGGGGACGACGUCAAAUCAUCAUGCCCCUUAUGACCUGGGCUACACACGUACUACAAUGGCCGUAAAAACAGAGGGAAGCAAAGCAGCAAUGUGGAGCAAAAACCCGAAAAACGGUCUCAGUUCAGAUUGCAGGCUGAAACUCGCCUGUAUGAAGUCGGAAUUGCUAGUAAUCGCGGAUCAGCAUGCCG